AACUCUUCUGGGUGUCCAAGGUUGCCCUUGGAGGAGCAAGAUCCUGGUUAACACACUCAUUCCCUUCACUGGGUGACUCUCAGCAUGUUUGACUUAUCUGCGUUUUAGAUUUUGUUACAGACUAUGGCCUCAGCGAAUUGCACCAACCUGCCCUUCCCUCUUGGAGACUCUGUAGUUUUUACGUAGUAAACCCUCUCAUGACUUUGGUUACCAAGAUGCCUGUUGUUUCCAUGUCUACAAGUCCUGUUUUCCAAACUGGCUGUCCUCAGGCUGGCAAGAGUGAGCUGACUCAACUCCAGAAACAUUCAAACUUCCUGCAAGAUUAGAUGGCUGGGAGCACUCCCACAGACCCUCGGCAGUGUUCUUUGUUAAGGUCAAGGUUUCUGCUUUCUCUACAAAUAGGAUGAUUUUCGAUAAUUCUGCCUCUGAAACACAGCAUCCAUUGGCAGUUUUUCUACAGCUACUUACAGCUAACAGGCCCGUUUUCUUUCCUUUAAUGCUCUGACCUCCGGCUGCGUUGCUGGUGAUCCUAGUUUCCCGAAGUUUUACCUGUUCUAGAUGAGCACCUGACUUUGAACUACCGUGGCCGUGCUUGCAUUUGAUGGUGAAGACUGAGAAAAGCAAGAUGAACUCUGAAGCAUUCUUGGAGGAAAUCAGAUCGGAUAGUGUAACUCCAACGUAACUGGACUAUUCUUGGUUAUCUCACAGAUACCCGUGUGGCCAGACGUCUCCAUGUGCUGGGACAAAUUUGUGUCCAGAAAUCAGCCAGGGUUGUGUGACUUGAUGGGACUGUCUUCUUUUGGAUCUCAAAGAUUUUGCUUAACAGGUACGAUGGUUUGGAUGUGCCUCCAAAGUUCAUGUGUUGGAAAAUUAAAGCCCCAGAGCGACGGUGUUGACAGACGGGACCCGCAGGAAGUGAUGAGCAAGUGCUCUCCCCUCGUGGAUGAAUGAAGGCCUUGACUGCACGGAGGGGCUCCUGAGAAGAGGAUGUUUGGCUCCUUUUCUCUCUCUUACGUGUGCAUGUGCUCUCUUGCCCUUCUGCCUUCUGCCAUGGGGCAGCACAGCAAGAAGACCCUCAGCAGAUGAGAGCCCCUCAACUGUGGGCUGCCCAGCCUCAAAACGGUGAAAUACUUGUCUGUGCCAGAAGGUUGUACUCUACCCCAUAAAAAUGACCAAAUAAG
Non-coding RNA from Oryctolagus cuniculus (rabbit), 1181 nucleotides. The record is from RefSeq and is a predicted model, not a curated record. NCBI's taxonomy places the organism in Eukaryota, Metazoa, Chordata, Mammalia, Lagomorpha, Leporidae.